AAAACAUCAAAUGAGCUAAAAGUUCAUCAGACACACACAGGAGAGAAGCCUUAUUCCUGCUCUGACUGUGGAAAAUGUUUUAAAACAUCAAAUCAGCUAAAAGUUCAUCAGAGAACACACACAGGAGAGAAGCCUUACUCCUGUUCUGACUGUGGGGUGAGUUUCUCUCAACUGGAUACCUUAAAAACACACAACAUAUACAUGCAGGAGAGAAGCCAUACUCCUGCUCUGCCUGUGUAAAAUGCUUCAAAACAGCAACUGAGCUAAAAGUUCAUCAGAGAACACACAUGAGAGAAGCCUGCUUACGUCUGCUCUGACUUUUGGGUGAGUUUCUCUCACCAUAGCAACUUAACACACCAGUGUAAACACACAGGAGAGAUGCCUUACCUCUGCUCUGUGGAAUGGUGGGCGUGUAACUCAAACUUCUAGCCAAAAAGGCUGCUGUGUUUGAAUCUCAUCAAGGAGGACUUGAGCAUUUUAGCUAAUUAGCAACUUUGCAACUACUUACUACUUUUUAACUAUUACUUAGCAUGUUAGCUUAGCAUGCAACUACUUAGCAUGUUAGCUAACCUUUCCCCUAAACCCAUUUAACUCUACCUUAAACCCCUCACCCCUAACCUAGCUAACGUUAGCAACAACAAAUUGGAAUUCGUAACAUAUCAUACAUAUUACAAGUUCGUAACAUAUUGUAUGAAUAGCAAUGCGUAAAAUAACAUAAGAAUUGUAAUUCUUAACAUACGAUACAUCCUACAAGUCGUAUUAUACUGAACAACAAUCUAAACGCAACAAUUUCAAAGAUUUAUAGUUUGUAUAAGGAAAUCAGUCAUUUUAAAUAAAUGAGGCCCUAAUCUAUGGAUUUCACAUGACUGGGCAGGGGCUCAGGCAUAGGCCCACUUGGGAGCCAGGCCCAGCCAAUCAGCAUGAGUUUUUCCCCACAAAAGUUCUUGAUUACAGACAUAAAUACUACUCAGUCCCCUCCCAGACAAUCCUGCAGGUGAAGAGGUCCUGGGCUGCCGUGGUUACAUGUGAUCUGCAGUUGUGAGGCCGGAUGGAUGUACUGCCAAAUUCUCUAAAAGGACGUUAGAGGUGGCUUAUGGUAGAGAUAUAAAUAUUGAGUUCUCUGGCAACAGCUCUGGUGGACAUUCCUGCAUUCAUCAUGACAAUUGCACAUUCCCUGAACUUGAGACAUCUGUGACAUUGUGUUGUGUGGCCUUUUAUUGUCCCCCAGCACAAGGUGCACCUGUGUAAUGAUAAUGCUGUUUUAUCAGCAUCUUGAUAUGCCACACCUGUCAGGUGGAUGGAUUAUCUUGACAAAGGCUGAAAUGCUCACUAACAGUAUAUAUAAACAAAGUUGUGCACAACAUUUGAGAUGUUUUUUUUUCUGCAUGGAACAUUGCUGGAAUGUUUUAUUUCAGCUCAUGAAACCAACACUUUACAUGUUUAGUUUAUAUUUUAGUUCAGUUUAUAUUGGUAGUCCAAUGUAAUGUAACCUAACAUACUAAAUGGAGUGGCAUGGAUGUUUUUGUAAUACAUAAUACGUUUUGCUCUGAGACCAGGUUGUCCCUCUGCAGUAUUCUGUGGGAAGGAGCUAGUAGACACUUUUUUUAAAAACCUUUAUUUAACUAGGCAAGUCUGUUAAGAACAAAUUCUUAUUUACAAUGAUGGCCUAGGAACAGUGGGUUAACUGCCUUGUUCAGAGGCUGAACAACAGAGUUUUACCUUGUCAGCUCGGGGAUUUU
This is a long non-coding RNA of Oncorhynchus tshawytscha (Chinook salmon), 1739 nucleotides long. NCBI's taxonomy places the organism in Eukaryota, Metazoa, Chordata, Actinopteri, Salmoniformes, Salmonidae. The record is from Ensembl.